AAUGAACGUUGGCGGCGUGGAUUAGGCAUGCGAGUCGUACGAGAACCCGCAAGGGGGGAAAGCGGCGAACGGGGUAGUAAUGCGUAGGUGACGUGCCCUGUGGUCGGGGAUAGCUUAGGGAAACUUAAGGUAAUACUCGAUGAUCCCGGAUUGUUUGAAGGCAGACCGGGCAAAGGUGUGAUUCCAUCACAGGAGCGGCUUGCGUGGUAUUAGCUAGUUGGUGAGGUAACGGCUCACCAAGGCUGCGAUGCCUAGGGGAUGUUAGCGCAUGAUCCCCACCACUGGGACUGAGAUACUGCCCAGACACCUACGGGUGGCUGCAGUCGAGAAUCUUCGGCAAUGGGCGAAAGCCUGACCGAGCGACGCCGCGUGUGGGA
RNAcentral lists this ribosomal RNA (377 nucleotides) under uncultured bacterium. RNAcentral describes it as "bacterial SSU rRNA". It matches the Rfam family "Bacterial small subunit ribosomal RNA", at positions 29 to 408 of the family's 1533-position model. The record is from RNAcentral.